GCUGUGGUGUCCGAGUGGUUAAGGAGAUGGACUCGAAAUCCAUUGGGCUCUGCCCGCACAGGUUCGAAUCCUGUCUACAGCG
RNAcentral lists this transfer RNA (82 nucleotides) under Hyalella azteca. RNAcentral's name for it is "tRNA-Ser". It matches the Rfam family "tRNA". From Rfam's summary of the family: Transfer RNA (tRNA) molecules are approximately 80 nucleotides in length. Their secondary structure includes four short double-helical elements and three loops (D, anti-codon, and T loops). The record is from Rfam by way of RNAcentral. Lineage: Eukaryota; Metazoa; Arthropoda; Malacostraca; Amphipoda; Hyalellidae.